Molecule: ribosomal RNA, 877 nt
Filed under: Curvularia hominis
Lineage: Eukaryota; Fungi; Ascomycota; Dothideomycetes; Pleosporales; Pleosporaceae
Description: eukaryotic LSU rRNA
Rfam family: Eukaryotic large subunit ribosomal RNA
Source: RNAcentral
AACAGGGAUUGCCCUAGUAACGGCGAGUGAAGCGGCAACAGCUCAAAUUUGAAAUCUGGCUCUUUCAGAGUCCGAGUUGUAAUUUGCAGAGGGCGCUUUGGCUUUGGCAGCGGUCCAAGUUCCUUGGAACAGGACGUCACAGAGGGUGAGAAUCCCGUACGUGGUCGCUAGCUAUUGCCGUGUAAAGCCCCUUCGACGAGUCGAGUUGUUUGGGAAUGCAGCUCUAAAUGGGAGGUAAAUUUCUUCUAAAGCUAAAUAUUGGCCAGAGACCGAUAGCGCACAAGUAGAGUGAUCGAAAGAUGAAAAGCACUUUGGAAAGAGAGUCAAACAGCACGUGAAAUUGUUGAAAGGGAAGCGCUUGCAGCCAGACUUGCUUGCAGUUGCUCAUCCGGGCUUUUGCCCGGUGCACUCUUCUGCAGGCAGGCCAGCAUCAGUUUGGGCGGUGGGAUAAAGGUCUCUGACACGUUCCUUCCUUCGGGUUGGCCAUAUAGGGGAGACGUCAUACCACCAGCCUGGACUGAGGUCCGCGCAUCUGCUAGGAUGCUGGCGUAAUGGCUGUAAGCGGCCCGUCUUGAAACACGGACCAAGGAGUCUAACAUCUAUGCGAGUGUUUGGGUGUCAAGCCCGAGCGCGUAAUGAAAGUGAACGGAGGUGGGAACCCGCAAGGGCGCACCAUCGACCGAUCCUGAAGUUUACGGAAGGAUUUGAGUAAGAGCAUGGCUGUUGGGACCCGAAAGAUGGUGAACUAUGCUUGAAUAGGGUGAAGCCAGAGGAAACUCUGGUGGAGGCUCGCAGCGGUUCUGACGUGCAAAUCGAUCGUCAAAUUUGGGCAUAGGGGCGAAAGACUAAUCGAACUAUCUAGUAGCUGGUUCCUGCC